UCAAAUCCUAUUAGGGUUUCAUUGAUUCAAAGUUCAAACUUUCAAUUCCAGCUGUGCAGCCGCAUCCCACGACGAUGACGAUUCCCACUGUCACUGCCAUAGCCGACUGCCACCCAUGGCCACGAGCCACGAUUCCCUCGCCCAGUCUUCCCUCGCAGCCUCGCCCAGUCACUCGCCCAUUCGGCGCUCGCCAGCUAUCAUGAAAUUGCUGGUAUUUUCCUUCACGCAGUAGUGGUUUAUUUAGUCUGCCCGCUUACCUUCCCAGUUCUUGCCGCCCCUCCAAAAUAAUUUCCAAUCUCCUUUCUCCAAGUGAAAAUCCAAAUAUCUGCAGCAGCGGUGCUUCUUUCCUAAUUUUUGUUCGAUCUCCAGGCCCUUGCUUUCAAGCCCUCUGUAGGAUGAGGUGUGGGCGAGCUAUUGAUAAGCUACAAAAUAUGAAAGGUUGUAGAAUUUUGAUUGGAUACUCAUUGCAGAGUAUACACCCAGCAAAACCCUCACCAAACACCUAUUCAUCCUUUCCAUUUUUCUUACCUAAUCCCUCCUUAAAAGCAUUGCAAAUUGUAGUUCCAAGUGUAAUCCAUCUUUGCAGGAUCAAGUUAGCAUGUACAAAUGACAAAUACAUGAAGGUACUAGAUCAAAGGCAAAGAUUGGAUCGAGUAGUCGUUCAAGUACUAGCAAAGAUCAAGAUGGACAUUCACUCGGAAGAACUCAAGCACAUCCAACAAAGUCACAGAGUAAUAGGGAGUGUUUGAGGUAGGAACUAUUGUAACUCUUGCAGUUUUGUUUCACGCAUGUUUACUGAGCAAGAGUUAAGCAAAUGCAUGUGCAUAUUAGUUCAUAAGAGUAUAUAGGAUAUCACCAAAUCAUAAGUUCAGAACUUAUGAGUUUUCAAAGUAAAAACAAGACUUUUAUAAAAAUAUCCUUUACUCAAAUGUAUUUUUAUAUGAGACAAGUUUUAAAUCAUAGUAGUGUUAUAAUCUUUUAAAACAACUUGGUCCUGAUUAGGUUUAAAACCUCAAUUAUACACCUCUCAAAUUUCCUAAACACCUUUUAGUAUUUGGAGCAUAACUUUUUCUAGAAAAAUUUACAAAUGACGAUCUUGGUAACUAUGGAAAGUUAAGAAAAAAUAUCACAACUUUCAUGUUUGAGACUUUCACUGAUUUGGGCAAUCAGUCGACGAUUUGGGGCAAAUCAUCCACGAUUUUAGGCAAAAUGUGGCCUAGAUGAAACAGUUGACUAAUUGGGGUAAACAAUCGACUAAUUGGGUCAAAUAGUUGACGAUUUGCGUUGGGAUUAAGUCCGCAACGACUAUAAAUGGCUAGUUUUCAAAGGAAAUAAUUAUUUUACAUACUUAACGGCCAUACAAUGGCUAGUACUCCAUUUUACCUAUAAAUACAAGUCCAAGGACUUGUUUUAAACAUUGAUUUGGUAGUUCAUAUAUCAUUCCCAAGCACACCACAUUUUAGUUCAUAGUUCAAGUGCUCAACUUCUCUCUUGCUCCUAAACUUUGUUGUGAAUCAUUACUUUGAGAGUGUUGUAUGAGGUUUUGGUUGUAUUUAAUUUUCAGCUCAUUCAAGGAGCAGUUGUUUUGUAUUCCAUCUUCAAAUUGUAAAAAAUUCUUGAUGGACUGGAUCGCAAAGGGUUCUUGGUGAACUGUGGUUGAAGGUUCUUGGUGAACCGAAGUGCAAGGAUUUUUGGUGAACCUUGAGGCUCUUGAUGAGCGAAGGGGAUUUGUUCCCGGUUAUAAAGGUUUCUCUGCUAGUGGAGGAGUUCAUAGUGGAUUGUGAAAUCUUUGAGUGUGUCUUAAGGCAUGGACGUAAGCAAGAGGCUGAACCACGUUAAACAUUGGUGUAACUUUUCUUCCCUUCUCGUUAAUUUAUAUCUUGUGUAUGAUUUACUUUGAUUA
This is a long non-coding RNA of Malania oleifera, 1903 nucleotides long. RefSeq lists it as uncharacterized. The record is from RefSeq and is a predicted model, not a curated record. NCBI's taxonomy places the organism in Eukaryota, Viridiplantae, Streptophyta, Magnoliopsida, Santalales, Ximeniaceae. The transcript is spliced from 3 exons.